UACGGAGGGGGCGAGUGUUGUUCGGAAUUACUGGGCGUAAAGGGCGCGUAGGCGGCUUGGCAAGUCGAGUGUGAAAGCCCUUGGCUUAACCGAGGAAUGGCGCUCGAAACUACCGGGCUUGAGGACGGGAGAGGGCAGUGGAACUCUCGGUGUAGGGGUGAAAUCUGUAGAGAUCGAGAGGAACACCGGUGGCGAAGGCGGCUGCCUGGCCCGUGGCUGACGCUGAGGCGCGAAAGCGUGGGGAGCAAAC
RNAcentral lists this ribosomal RNA (250 nucleotides) under uncultured bacterium. Its description in RNAcentral is "partial 16S ribosomal RNA". It matches the Rfam family "Bacterial small subunit ribosomal RNA", at positions 524 to 773 of the family's 1533-position model. The record is from RNAcentral.